AGCCAGAGCUGGAGCACGUUAUUUGUCUUGUGGACAAGGAAAUGAGUGGCUUGGGCUGGAUGUGGGGUGAAUGGCACUCGGACAAAUUUUGAGGAGUGACCUCCAAGGGAGAGGCACAAACCCAGUAAAGGGACAGUCACAUGCGCUGUCUGAUGCACAGCUCCUCCAUUUACUUCUGGGCUGAGUUCAUGUGAUAGACAAGCAUCCAGAGUAUCUAACAAGAGAAGAAUCUCCUUUGAAUGCUGAGGAGGCAAUUCAGAGGAAGGACAAACCCCCUUACACCUCUUAGGAGUGGCCAGAGCAUGUUGAUCUGAAGAGUCAUCUAGCAAGUCUCCGUGGGACUGAGGCUGAGGUUCCCAGGUUUCUAUUAUACUAAUGCAGAAACUCCAGGUUGAUGUGGAGAAGGGCAGGGGGAAAUUGCCUCCCAGAUGAAAUAUAUGGCAAGAACAGGUAUAUUUCCAAACUGUUUCAAGGAAAUAGUUUUUAAGCUAUUUGUCACUCUGCUGCAUGAAAUGAUCAGACACACUGUCCAAUCAACAGCAAAUGAGAAAUGUACAGGUAUGAAAAUGUUCUGUUUUACCAAACUAUUUUUUCCAAAGUGACCCACCUUUCUUUGAGUGAAUUUAUUGCCUCGUGCUGCUGGGAUGCAGCUCUCGUCUGCAGAGCUGUCACAGUGAUGGCUCCCAGCACUUUGAGUUUUAACCGUUAAAACUAUUUUCAUGAUGUUCAAAGUACUUCAGAAACAACUGCCUUUAUUGCUUAAUUGUUGUGCUCAAUUACUGUGGCAGUGGGCAGCUUAUGAAGGUCUGUGAUGGUGAUGAGAAUUCAUUUAUUCUAACCUCUCUUUCUCAAUUACAAAUAAUGCUGUCAGAGAUUGUUUUACCCAGAGAAGGUCUGAUGUAAUUCAAAACACCCCCUCGUCCUUAAGAUGCUGUAGCAGCUCUGAAGAGUGUCUGACACUGCUUGUGCUUUGUAAGGAGACACCUUUGUGUGCUGAAGAAAAUUGCCACUGCAAGAGGUAUUUUAUGGAAAAAUGUAUUUCUGGAAACAGUUGCGGAGAGGUGCACAAAACAGUACUGCAGAAUUUUAUUUCUCAUGUCUAAAUUGCCUGGUAUAUAUUUGUGAGGUGUUUCAUAGGGUUGUGAGCACUUUACUGGCUUUGUAGGUGUUUGAGCAGUGCCUAAAGCAAUGGGACUUCCUGCCCUGAAGGGACCUUUGCAAAGUCCAUCUCUACAAAUGAGUAUUGACGCUGCUUUGGCUGCUUGUAAACCAGAAAAGGCUGAUGUAUGUAGGAGGCUUUAGUACUGAUAGGGUAUUAAAAUCAAAGGUGGUUUCAAUUUCUUCUCACUCAUGAAAUGGGGCAUGUUCUAGAGGCACAUGACAAUUUGCCACAGUGGUCUUCAGAUAGACAAAAUUUUGUUCUCAUGAAAAAAAAACAUAUUUCCUUUCCACACUGUGUUUCCACUCAUGCCCUGAGAAUCCCCUCUGUGUUGGGAUGCUAUAGGGAUGGCACACCUUAGGGGAGGGUGAUCGCUGUGUGCCUGUGAUACUUGCUGGCACCUCAACACCCUGCUCAAAGCAUCAGAGGGGCAGGAUCUCUGUGCACCCUUUCAAGCUGUGCAUCAUGGAUUUUUUCCAGCAAAGACUGUAUUUCCUGCCUCAUCCAGACAUGCUAACGAGGCACCUGUGACAUCUGACAGGGCCUGCCGACGGAGAUGUGAAAGAAAAUAGCAGAGGGAGAAGGAAGGCAAAGCAUCAUUUUGGAAGCAUGAGAACUUCUGAAACAUUAAUCUGUUUACAGAAGUGAUGUUUUCCAGUGAAGAAAAAAAUGUGUUUGACUGCUGGCCAAAGGAGGAGCAGGAUGAUCGGAAACAGGCAGCAAGAACAAACAGGCAUAUGAAG
Cuculus canorus (common cuckoo) is the source of this 1902-nucleotide long non-coding RNA. RefSeq lists it as uncharacterized. The transcript is spliced from 5 exons. NCBI's taxonomy places the organism in Eukaryota, Metazoa, Chordata, Aves, Cuculiformes, Cuculidae. The record is from RefSeq and is a predicted model, not a curated record.